AUUGAACGCUGGCGGCAUGCCUUACACAUGCAAGUCGAACGGUAACAGGUCUUCGGAUGCUGACGAGUGGCGAACGGGUGAGUAAUACAUCGGAACGUGCCCGAUCGUGGGGGAUAACGGAGCGAAAGCUUUGCUAAUACCGCAUACGAUCUACGGAUGAAAGCAGGGGACCGCAAGGCCUUGCGCGGACGGAGCGGCCGAUGGCAGAUUAGGUAGUUGGUGGGAUAAAAGCUUACCAAGCCGACGAUCUGUAGCUGGUCUGAGAGGACGACCAGCCACACUGGGACUGAGACACGGCCCAGACUCCUACGGGAGGCAGCAGUGGGGAAUUUUGGACAAUGGGCGCAAGCCUGAUCCAGCCAUGCCGCGUGCAGGAUGAAGGCCUUCGGUUGUAAACUGCUUUGUACGGACGAAAGACUCUUCUAAUAAAGAGGUACCAUGACGGUACCGUAAGAAUAAGCACCGGCUAACUACGUGCCAGCAGCCGGUAAGAGU
RNAcentral lists this ribosomal RNA (495 nucleotides) under uncultured bacterium. RNAcentral describes it as "bacterial SSU rRNA". It matches the Rfam family "Bacterial small subunit ribosomal RNA", at positions 30 to 528 of the family's 1533-position model. The record is from RNAcentral.